RNAcentral lists this unclassified non-coding RNA (231 nucleotides) under Hevea brasiliensis (rubber tree). The record is from RNAcentral. Lineage: Eukaryota; Viridiplantae; Streptophyta; Magnoliopsida; Malpighiales; Euphorbiaceae.
AAAUGAGUUGGUCAAAAGCAGACUAGAUUGAUGAAUCAUAUUAGCUUCACUUUAAUCUGCAUAUACCUUAUAUCAUGCAGUUGGAGCCUAUAGAAUGAGAGCAAAAAUUAGUAAGCAGAUGUGUUUGUUUUUCAUUUCCUUUCCUCAGGUCUUGCUUUGUGAUGUAAUAGUCCUGAGUCAGCGUAGUUCUCGUAUCAUGUUGAACUUUUUGUCGGUAUGAUGGUGGGUUUU